GGAUAGCCAUUGGAAACGAUGAUUAAUACUAGAUACUCCUUUUUAUCAAAUGAUAAAUCGGGAAAGUUUUUUCGCUAAGAGAUCGGUCUAUAUCGCAUCAGUUAGUUGGUGGGGUAAGAGCCUACCAAGACAAUGACGCGUAGCGGGUUUGAGAGGAUGAUCCGCCACACUGGUACUGAGACACGGACCAGACUCCUACGGGAGGCAGCAGUGAGGAAUAUUGCACAAUGGGGGAAACCCUGAUGCAGCAACGCCGCGUGGAGGAUGACGCAUUUCGGUGUGUAAACUCCUUUUAUAUGUCAAGAAAAUGACGGUAGCAUAUGAAUAAGCACCGGCUAACUCCGUGCCAGCAGCCGCGGUAAUACGGAGGGUGCAAGCGUUAUUCGGAAUCACUGGGCGUAAAGGACGCGUAGGCGGGUUUGUAAGUCAGGUGUGAAAUCCUAUGGCUCAACCAUAGAACUGCACUUGAAACUACUAACCUAGAGUAUGGGAGGGGGAGAGGAAUUAGUGGGGGGUGAAGGGGAAAAAC
RNAcentral lists this ribosomal RNA (529 nucleotides) under uncultured Campylobacterota bacterium. Its description in RNAcentral is "bacterial SSU rRNA". It matches the Rfam family "Bacterial small subunit ribosomal RNA", at positions 141 to 687 of the family's 1533-position model. The record is from RNAcentral. Lineage: Bacteria; Pseudomonadati; Campylobacterota.